This 604-nucleotide ribosomal RNA is filed under the name uncultured Mycobacterium sp. Its description in RNAcentral is "bacterial SSU rRNA". It matches the Rfam family "Bacterial small subunit ribosomal RNA", at positions 252 to 866 of the family's 1533-position model. The record is from RNAcentral. Lineage: Bacteria; Bacillati; Actinomycetota; Actinomycetes; Mycobacteriales; Mycobacteriaceae.
GUGAGGUUAUGGCUUACCAAGGCGACGACGGGUAGCCGGCCUGAGAGGGUGACCGGCCACACUGGGACUGAGAUACGGCCCAGACUCCUACGGGAGGCAGCAGUGGGGAAUAUUGCACAAUGGGCGCAAGCCUGAUGCAGCGACGCCGCGUGAGGGAUGACGGCCUUCGGGUUGUAAACCUCUUUCAGCAGGGACGAAGCGCAGGUGACGGUACCUGUAGAAGAAGGACCGGCCAACUACGUGCCAGCAGCCGCGGUAAUACGUAGGGUCCGAGCGUUGUCCGGAAUUACUGGGCGUAAAGAGCUCGUAGGUGGUUUGUCGCGUUGUUCGUGAAAACUCACAGCUCAACUGUGGGCGUGCGGGCGAUACGGGCAGACUUGAGUACUGCAGGGGAGACUGGAAUUCCUGGUGUAGCGGUGGAAUGCGCAGAUAUCAGGAGGAACACCGGUGGCGAAGGCGGGUCUCUGGGCAGUAACUGACGCUGAGGAGCGAAAGCGUGGGGAGCGAACAGGAUUAGAUACCCUGGUAGUCCACGCCGUAAACGGUGGGUACUAGGUGUGGGUUUCCUUCCUUGGGAUCCGUGCCGUAGCUAACGCAUUAAGUA